CACUCACUCUUUUUCUGAAAAAAAAAAAAAUCACAUAAAGGCAAUGCUGCCUUGAAUGUCAGUGUUUCUACAUUGUGGUUUCUAUAGUGUGUAAUCCACAUACAAGUCCUGCCGUAUAUAAUGACUAGGGUCCUGGACAUCUUUGGCCUAGGGUCUUGCUCUACUCCUAUUGAGAUGCUGGAUUCUAAGUGCACAAAGUAAGUGGCGAUUUCACAUUUUCUCAAGUGGGUCUUGCUCAACCUAGAAGGCUUUUUUCUUUUCCAUGUCUGGCUAAUUCCUCCUAAAGAUUCAAGUCUGCCUCAGAAGGCAUCUUGCCUGGGAAACCUUUCGUAUAAACCUCCCUCACCUCCUUUCUCCCAAAAGAAGAAGAGUCUCUCUCAGGAUUUUCCCACAAAACACGCAUUUGAAGCCAAACCGACUAACCACUUUCUACCUCCAUAAUCCAACAAUUUAAGUUCUCUGAAUUUCCUUCCUAAUCUGUAAUUUUGGCACAGUAAUAUCUAUGGAGCUGUUUUUUAGACAUUAUUUUUUAGUAACUCUUCUUAGCUUAUUUGGUGUAAUAACCAGCACGGGCUAUGAGAGGAGAAGAGAGGAGAACAAGAUGAAUGAGGAGAUGCCUCCAGUUUUCAUUUAGUGUUUUUAUAUAGCUGGAGAAAACAUUUAGCGUUGAAAAAUCUCUUUUUAGGAAAGAUGCGUUCUAAUGUUUACUUCUUGGAAAGACAGGAUAUAGAUGGAGCAUUAGGUGUGAGGUGAAACUUGGUACAUUUUAUUAACACCUAGAAGUCAUUUGUUCUUUUCCUAACUUUUAUUUUUCUUUUUAGAGAUGGGACCUCGCUAUGUUGCCCAGACUGGUCUCGAACCCCUGGGCUCAGGCGAUCCUCUGGCUUCAGACUCCUGAAGUUCUGGAAUUACAGGUAUGAGCCAGGCACAUCUGCUCUUUGGUAGCCAAAACAGAACUUUAAUGUCUAUUAACCAGAGAGGCAAAAUUAAAUUAUGAAAAGAAGAAGCUCAAAAUGAUGACUUGGAGAAAGCAAGUAUGUUCCAAGGAAGGCAGUUGUGGAAGCGCUGCCCACCUUAGAAUGUACAUCCUCUGCCCUCCACCCACCGGAACUAGAGCCACAGGCAGACAGUGUCUCCACAGCUAAGGAAAGCAAAGUCAUCCUGCUAAAGUAACUGGAUGCUGGGAAUUUGGGAAUUUAAAAAUAACCUACUAAAAUGCACUGAGAUGCCAAUGGAUUUGGAGAAGAGCAAAUGUGAGUUUGGGUCAGGAGGAGAAGUAGAUAACCUUGACAUCAGUGAUGAAAAAUACCCCUUUGUUCUAGUAAAUUACACAACUCUGAAUUCCCUAGCCCAACCCCUAGGCCAGUUGUGUUUUGCUUUUUCUCAUUGUGAGCGUGGAAGCGUCAAUUGAAUAAAUGUGGAAUGAGGACAUGAGCCUCCCCUCCUACCUCCUUCUGUCUGUGAGCUCAUUGCUGCAGUGAUCUUACAUUUAUGUGUGGUUUGCAGCAGGCAAAGAGUACCAUGUGGUUUGGUGAAUCAAGGUUGGUUGAUGAGAUAUAGUAAAUCAGAGCAUAUCCUAAGCUUUGAUGACACUAUUUUGAUUUUUCUCCAUUUCUUGAUUCAGUUUGUGUGCCCCUCAGGUGUGUCAGCCCUUUAGACCUCAGGUAGACAGCACCGUCCCCUGCAGUCGGGUCCCCUGGAGUGAGGCUUCCAGUUUUUGAGACUUAGGCUUCGGGCAGGUACCUGGACAAUUGACAGAGCCUUGCAAUUGUACAGCAAAAAGAGGAGAAGGUUUGCGACAAUAAGUAGUAUCAGGAUUUGAUGAUUCGGACUGAAGUUUGGGAUGCAUCUGACUUAACAGCAAGUGGUGGCUCAUAUGUCAUGUUUCAGCGUUGAGAGAUUCUUAUUUGAAAUAAGCUAAAAUUAAGCCUCUUUAUUCAAGGAAAAGACAACAUUCCAAGGUUCAGGGACCCAAAGCUAUUACUUUGGAUCCCUUAAGUCUACAGUAUACAUUUGUUUUGUUAAAGUUUGGCAUUAUAAAGGUCAUAGCACAACCUUUUCGCUAAUAUAUUUUGGCUCCCUGUCUUUUCUUAAAGGUGACAUUACAUAGUUAAAAAGUAACCUAAGUUAAAAAAAAAAAAAAAAA
RNAcentral lists this long non-coding RNA (2146 nucleotides) under Macaca fascicularis (crab-eating macaque). Its description in RNAcentral is "lncRNA (ENSMFAG00000060926.1)". Lineage: Eukaryota; Metazoa; Chordata; Mammalia; Primates; Cercopithecidae. The record is from RNAcentral.